GAUGUGCAGGGCGGGCAGAGCUCAGGUGUGCGGGGCCCCAUGGCGGCUGCGCGGGGCGGAGCCGAGGUGAUUUAGACCCCGGAAAUCGCCUCGAUCGCCAUUUGCUCACUCAGAGCACGGUGCGGACAGGAGCCCUCUGUGCGGGCUCCGCAGCUGGUGUCCUGGUCCCCUUCCUACGACAAAUGGUUGACCCCGAACGCUGACCCCCUCGAAUGAAAAAGGGGGAGAGAGCAUGCCACGGUCGAGGAAGUUGGAGCUGGGUCCUGAGCAGCCAGGACUGUGCCGGAAUUUUGAAGCACCCUUGGGGUUCACAUCGGUGACUCAAGCCAUUCACGUGCUGCCGGAGCCUGGAAAGCUGCAAGAGCGCUCACGAAAGAGGUAUGAAAAGGCAAGCAGCAUAUAAUUCAUUCGCCGCGUAUUUAGAAAGGCGAGGACUAAAGGGGAUAGAUUUAAAAAAGGAGCUACUAGGGUUGUUACCCUACGGCUAUGCUAAAGAAGUUUUCCUUAACCCUCAUAUGGUCUAUGAACUCUCGGAAUGGACAAAAUUUGGGAAUAUACUGUGGGAAGCGGUGUUAGAAGAUGAUAAGUCAGCAAAGAAACCGAGCAAGCCAUGGCGGGUGAUGGUCUCUGAGCGCAAGGCAGCAGCCGCGGCUCGGGGCGCCUGCGGGGCUGUGCCCCUCCGAACUCGGCGUGGGCGCUGCGCCAUGGGGAGCAGCCGCGGCGAGCGGCCGCCUGGAAUAUUACGCUGCAGCAGCGGGAGCAGCGGGAGCGGCGACAGCGGCGGGGCGAGCGGAGCCGCCGCGGGGGGAGCGCUUCUCCCUCCGCCCCGCAGCCGGCAAAAGCUACAGUUUAAGACCUAACAGCCGUAAUAAUUGUGACUCUUGUCAACAAAAGAUCCCUACUGCAAUUGAGAGACCAGUGAUAAUAAACAAGCGACACCAAGGACCAUUACUAUCAAGAGACGUUUCUCACCUAAGUUAGAAAGAUCUUUUGUCCUUCCUAGCAGAGACUGUAAAAGAGAAAUCAGCAUAGUGUGAAUGCGUAGGUCAAAUUUCGGCCGAUUCGGCUUAGCAUCCGUUAUGUUGUUUUAAAAUCACCUGUAUUAACAGAGACUUUAAACAUCAGAAGUAUAGACUUUAAUCAGUGAAACAUCAAACUCUGAAAUUAUAUUUUGAAAAAUUUAAAAAUGUUAAAAAUAUGUUAAAAAGAUUGUAUAAGUAAGAUGUAGUGAGUAUGCUUUUUGUAUUCUUUGAGCCUUGCUUGGAUGUGAUAGAGGUAAAAGCAAGCACUGAAUUCAAAAGAAUUUUUCCACAGGUAUACCUUGAACAAACUUCUUAUGUUUAAAUGCAUUUAAGUAUAAAAAUGCUGCAACAAACACGUGAAGAAAGUUGUUUUAGCUUAGUAUUUUAAAAUCAGGCCUAUAAGUAAGUUAUAGUAAAUGCUAUACUUAUAAUUCUAUACUAUUCUAUAGUAAGUUUUAUUUGUUGUUAAGUAGUUUAGGUUAAAUUAUCUAUUAAGUGCCAUUAAAUGUUAAAUACUGUUAAGGUUUUAAAUUUUGUUAAGUUUAAGUAAAGCUAGAUUCUGUUUAAAUUAUGUUAAGUUUAAGUUAUAUAAAAUUUAAAAUCAGCUGAUUUUUGUUAAAAUUAAGUUUAAGUGAUGUUAAGUUCUGUUAAGUUUAAAUAUUUUAAGUAUUUUAAGUAUAAAUGCUAUUAAAUUUAAAUGAUGUUAAAUAGAUUUAUACUUUUUAUGAUAAGCGUUUAUUUUAUGACUUGUGUGCAAAGUGCUGUUGUGAACAUCAAAGAAACUUUAGUUAAAAGAAACAAUCAGAAGUAUUUGUGAGUAAAGCCGUUUCUGUUGAAAGUAUAUCUGCUGUUUGAGAAUAAAAAGCAAACUAUUUGAAAAUAGAAAGCAAACGACGCAGAUAAAACCUGCGCACAUGUUAUUCCUUUAGCUUAUUUUUGUAGGUUGUAUUAGCACACCUGAGUUUUGUUUGAGCCUUAUAGCACAUAAAAUUCUUUAUGUAUCUGUUGUAUAGCAUAUCCUAUAAAUAGUAAUAGCCUUUUUGGUUUGUUUCCCUGGCUUAGAUCCCUUGUAAGAGAGAAACCUUGCUAGCUGAGAAUAUUGUUUAGUUAUUAGAAUUGCCUAUUUUUGUGUUGCAAAAAGUGUGACACAGUUAGCCCAUAGAACUUUGCUUUUUUUAAAAAAAAUAAAAACAGGGGAAGUGUUGGGAAAUUUAGGUGACUAGAGAAUGGAAAAGUACAAAGCCGUGGCUAAUUCCAAGUUCUGCACCUGCUAGAUAGUGUGUCCUUGGGCCUAGCUGUAGUUCAAUAACAAAUAGUGAAAAGAGACAUGAGAAAAGAGAGAUGUAACCCCUAAGGAAUGAAAAAGAGUUCAUGGUAUAGUUUAACCAAUAGAUUGCUUGGCUUACAGAAGCUUAUUAUUUGCAAUAUAAGUGUUUAAUGCUUUCUUCAAUAAACUGGACCUGUGAUGAA
This is a long non-coding RNA of Melospiza melodia melodia, 2492 nucleotides long. RefSeq lists it as uncharacterized. NCBI's taxonomy places the organism in Eukaryota, Metazoa, Chordata, Aves, Passeriformes, Passerellidae. The record is from RefSeq and is a predicted model, not a curated record. The transcript has 2 exons.